AAGGUGCGAACCUUGAAUAAGGUA
Molecule: non-coding RNA, 24 nt
Filed under: Arabidopsis thaliana (thale cress)
Lineage: Eukaryota; Viridiplantae; Streptophyta; Magnoliopsida; Brassicales; Brassicaceae
Source: RNAcentral